UGCAUUUGAAACUGGUUGACUAGAGUUUUGUAGAGGGUGGUAGAAUUUCAGGUGUAGCGGUGAAAUGCGUAGAGAUCUGAAGGAAUACCAGUGGCGAAGGCGGCCACCUGGACAAAGACUGACACUGAGGCGCGAAGGCGUGGGGAGCAAACGGGAUUAGAUACCCCGGUAGUCCACGCAGUAAGCGAUGUCUAUUAGAAGUUUGUGGCUAUAUGCCGUGGGUUUCAAAGCUAACGCAUUAAAUAGACCGCCUGGGGAGUACGGCCGCAAGGUUAAAACUCAAAUGAAUUGACGGGGGCCCGCACAAGCGGUGGAGCAUGUGGUUUAAUUCGAUGCAACGCGAAGAACCUUACCAUCCCUUGACAUCCAGAGAAUCACCUAGAGAUAGAUGAGUGCCUUCGGGAACUCUGAGACAGGUGCUGCAUGGCUGUCGUCAGCUCGUGUUGUGAAAUGUUGGGUUAAGUCCCGCAACGAGCGCAACCCUUAUCCUUAGUUGCCAGCACGUAAUGGUGGGAACUCUAGGGAGACUGCCGGUGAUAAACCGGAGGAAGGUGGGGACGACGUCAAGUCAUCAUGGCCCUUACGGGAUGGGCUACACACGUGCUACAAUGGCAAAUACAAAGGGUUGCUAACCUGCGAGGGUAUGCGAAUCUCAUAAAGUUUGUCGUAGUCCGGAUCGGAGUCUGCAACUCGACUCCGUGAAGUUGGAACCGCUAGUAAUCGUGGAUCAGAAUGCCACGGUGAAUACGUUCCCGGGCCUUGUACACACCGCCCGUCACACCAUGGGAGUGGGCUGCACCAGAAGUCAUUAGCUUAACCUUCGGGAUGGCGAUGACCACGGUGUGGUUCAUGACUGGGGUGAA
RNAcentral lists this ribosomal RNA (863 nucleotides) under Alteromonadales bacterium. RNAcentral's name for it is "bacterial SSU rRNA". It matches the Rfam family "Bacterial small subunit ribosomal RNA", at positions 622 to 1484 of the family's 1533-position model. The record is from RNAcentral. Lineage: Bacteria; Pseudomonadati; Pseudomonadota; Gammaproteobacteria; Alteromonadales.